AUUGUUCUCAACUUCUUGUGAUGUAUCUUGAUCAUGAAGAUCUGAAUCCUCUUGGUUUUGCUCUUGCUCACCAGAUUCAGUUCCAUUCCCCCUCUCAUGAUCAAGAGGAGUUGUUCUUACAGCUCCACCACUCUGAUUGGAAGACUCUCUCCUUCCAGUUUCCUGAUCCUGGGAUAAUCCUAUCCCAAGCUUCUCUAACAACACUCUCAGUAUUGUUGCCUUAUCAGAUGGAGCUU
This 236-nucleotide long non-coding RNA is filed under the name Brassica napus (rape). Its description in RNAcentral is "long non-coding RNA (BNAP_LNC015259)". The record is from RNAcentral. Lineage: Eukaryota; Viridiplantae; Streptophyta; Magnoliopsida; Brassicales; Brassicaceae.